CUCAGUUUUUGUUUUCAAAGACAUAAAUUUUACAUAUUUAUAUAAUUGUCUAAAUUCAAAAUAUAUUUAUCUACUAACCAGUAGUAUUAAUACACUUAGAAAUUUAAUAAACUUGAAAUACAUCAAAUUAUAAAAUUAUUAUGAUCUAACAGGUCUCAAUACACAACUGUUUCUACCCUGAUUUAUUAUUACUUGGUAUUUUUUGAUGGUUCUUUAGUUGGUGAAAUGUAUCUAAUGUCUUCUACAUUGUUUAUGCUAUUGUCCUAGAGCAGAAAACAGCUGUCCUCCUGAAUCCACCCUUCAACUGAUACAUACAAAACUUUAACAGGUUGUAUGGUAAUUAAGGUAAGUACUGUCAGGUGGAAACAAAAGUUGCUAAAGAAAUUCUAAACUUACCAAGAUUGAAACAUUGAAAAUUAAUAGUUCAAUAGAAAUUGUCCUGCAUUAAGUUAGAUCUGACUUGGCUCAGACGCCCACUGUCCCUGACCUAAAACUGACAAUCAUUCUGCAUUGCGGAACUCAGUGUAUAGUAUUUAAUGGCAAUCAUUACAUAGUAAAAAUCACCACCACCACCACCCCCACACACAGCUACAGACUUGAUUCUACUGUAAAGGUGAGUAUGCACAAUAAGUUCACCAUGAAAAAUGCAUAGUUUAAUCAACAAUAAAAUGUCUAACCUUGGGUUCCAAGUGGAGCUACUCCAAUUCAGUAACUAUAUAUUGAGUUCCUUGGUUAUCUACAUAAACAGGAGGUAUUUCAGGAACAAGAGCUUACCCCAGGAGGCUAAGAGAACUCUGUAUAUAUUCAGCACUAAAAAAUAAUAAUCUGUGUAUACUGAAAGCAUGCAUGUGGUGAAAGGGAGGUAGUAGGGACAGUAGUUGUAACAGAAAAAAAAAAAAAAAAAGAUGUCAGAGGCAAGUAGGAAAACUGCCUCAGGCUUUGUGGGUCAGUACCCUAAGUUCAGAUUGCCUCUCUCAAACAAACACAGCAAUCAUAGAAGACCGAAGCAAAGGUCUGAACUGUGCAGAACAGAUAGGAAAGCAGCCACAUGAAGACAGAUAAACCAGUUUAAAAGGUCGAUUUCCUAAUGUAGGUGAUGCAGGCAUGCAUUAAAAGGCAAUUCCAUGAUGAUGAAAUGUAAGGCUUUUAGGAGCUGGAGAAUACUUCAGGACCAGAGCUGUGCUUAACAUGUAUGAGGCUACAGACUAGAAAGAAAAAGUCAUUUGUUUACAUUCAGCUCUCCGAUUUUCCAUACACCGAUGUAGAACUCAGAGAAAGCUGCUAUUCUCUCUACAUCUUAUUUCUUUCCCAUAACUCAAGAUACAAAAUCUUCACAGGACUGUCCUCC
Molecule: long non-coding RNA, 1348 nt
Filed under: Cricetulus griseus (Chinese hamster)
Lineage: Eukaryota; Metazoa; Chordata; Mammalia; Rodentia; Cricetidae
Description: lncRNA (ENSCGRG00015033425.1)
Source: RNAcentral